GUUAGAGGAAGGGGUCGGCCUGACAGGAGCAGGAGCUGAGCUGGCUGGAGGCUGCAGUUGUGAAGCUGGUCUAACGGGGAGGAGCCAUGAGGACAUCCAGGGGAGCUUUAAUCGUGUUCUCGUGGCUGCAGCUGAGCUGGUUCAGCCGAGGAGAGACUGUGGAGCAGCGGCCUUCGACCCUGAGUGUGCGACAGGGACGCAGCUCUGUCAUCAACUGCAGUUAUUCAGACAGUGCCUCAGUCUACUUCCCUUGGUAUAAGCAAGAGCUUGGAAAAGGUCCCCGUCUCCUUAUAGACAUUCGUUCAAACAUGGCCACAAAAGAAGACCAAAGGCUCACUGUCUCACUGAACAAGACGGCCAGACAGCUCUCCCUGCACAUCGCAGACUCGCAGCCUGAAGACUCAGCUGUGUACUUCUGCGCGGCAAGCACACACUGCUCCCCAGACACCUGCUGCCUGCACUCAAACCUGCCAGUGGGGCAGCCCCUGGCCUUUGACACAGACCUUCCAGGAGGGCGUUUGUCCUUUGUUGGUCUGCAAGUGGAAGCUAAUGUGUUAGGCAGUAAAAGCAUAUGUUCAGAUUAGGAUGGAGAUGACCCAUUCCUGAUUCACAUAAAAUAACCACCUUAUGCUGGAGUCAACACAACAGGGAGAACAUAAGAUAAUAAUCACAGAUUCGGGUGCCUGAGUAGCUCUGUGGGUUAAGCAUUGAACUCUUGUUUUUUGUUGUUUGGUUUUUUAGAUUUUAUUAUUUUCUUGGAAGAGAGGGAGUGAGAACAAGCAGGGGAAGCAACAGAGGGAGGAGGAGUAGCAGGGUCCCCGCCAAACAGGGAGACUGACGUGCUGUUCAUCCCAGGACCCUGGGAUCAUGACCUGAGGUGAAGGCAGAUGCUUAACCGACUGAGCCACCCAGAGCCCCCAACUCUUGGUUUUGGUUGAAGUUAUGAUCUCAGGGUCAUGAGAUCAA
This is a non-coding RNA of Ailuropoda melanoleuca (giant panda), 966 nucleotides long. The record is from the annotation of a RefSeq genome assembly. NCBI's taxonomy places the organism in Eukaryota, Metazoa, Chordata, Mammalia, Carnivora, Ursidae.